GAGAGUAUUAUAACUCCCAAACCCAUGUGAACAUACCUCUUGUUGCCUCGGCGGAGAGAGGGACUACCCCGGUGUGACUACCCGGAGGCGCCUACCUAGUAGGCGCCACACGGCACUCCAGGGCGCUCCCUCCCGCCGCCGCUGGCCCACGAAACUCUGUUUUAUCCUGCAACUCUGAAUCUUAAAAAAAAAUAAGUUA
This 199-nucleotide unclassified non-coding RNA is filed under the name uncultured Sordariomycetes. RNAcentral's name for it is "sequence contains ITS1". The record is from RNAcentral. Lineage: Eukaryota; Fungi; Ascomycota; Sordariomycetes.